GCCGCCAGUUCCACCUUCUCAUUCACUUUCUCCUCCUGGAUCUCCACAACGAUCUACUAUCCAAAUUCUAGAAAAUAGCAAAGAACCACCAGCUUUGCGUGCUCAACAAGAAAUAAAUCCUAGCUCUCUUCACGAACAUGGUGUUGCCUCAAGUGUUCGUGUUGCAGACGAUGAAGGGAUGUUUGGGGGAUUCUUUUUCAGUCAGUCA
Triticum dicoccoides is the source of this 208-nucleotide long non-coding RNA. RefSeq lists it as uncharacterized. The record is from RefSeq and is a predicted model, not a curated record. The transcript is spliced from 3 exons. NCBI's taxonomy places the organism in Eukaryota, Viridiplantae, Streptophyta, Magnoliopsida, Poales, Poaceae.